This 253-nucleotide ribosomal RNA is filed under the name uncultured prokaryote. RNAcentral's name for it is "partial 16S ribosomal RNA". It matches the Rfam family "Bacterial small subunit ribosomal RNA", at positions 525 to 777 of the family's 1533-position model. The record is from RNAcentral.
ACAGAGGUCUCAAGCGUUGUUCGGAUUCAUUGGGCGUAAAGGGUGCGUAGGCGGCAUGGCAAGUCGGGAGUGAAAGCCCGGGGCUCAACCCCGGAGGGUCUCUCGAAACUGCCAAGCUAGAGUGCGGAAGAGGCAACUGGAAUUCCCAGUGUAGCGGUGAAAUGCGUAGAUAUUGGGAAGAACACCGGAGGCGAAGGCGGGUUGCUGGGCCGACACUGACGCUGAGGCGCGAAAGCCAGGGGAGCAAACGGGA